Molecule: ribosomal RNA, 1493 nt
Filed under: uncultured rumen bacterium
Lineage: Bacteria
Description: bacterial SSU rRNA
Rfam family: Bacterial small subunit ribosomal RNA
Source: RNAcentral
AGAGUUUGAUCAUGGCUCAGGAUGAACGCUGGCGGCGUGCUUAACACAUGCAAGUCGAACGAGGAAUGCUGAUGAAGUUUUCGGAUGGAUUCGGUAUUCCGAGUGGCGGACGGGUGAGUAACGCGUGGGUAACCUGCCCUGUACAGGGGGAUAACAGUUGGAAACGACUGUUAAUACCGCAUAAGACCACAGCACCGCAUGGUGCAGGGGUAAAAACUCCGGUGGUACAGGAUGGACCCGCGUCCAAUUAGCUGGUUGGUGAGGUAACGGCCCACCAAGGCGACGAUUGGUAGCCGAUCUGAGAGGAUGACCGGCCACAUUGGGACUGAGACACGGCCCAAACUCCUACGGGAGGCAGCAGUGGGGAAUAUUGCACAAUGGGGGAAACCCUGAUGCAGCGACGCCGCGUGAGUGAUGAAGUAUUUCGGUAUGUAAAGCUCUAUCAGCAGGGAAGAAAAUGACGGUACCUGAGUAAGAAGCCCCGGCUAACUACGUGCCAGCAGCCGCGGUAAUACGUAGGGGGCAAGCGUUAUCCGGAUUUACUGGGUGUAAAGGGAGCGCAGACGGCGAUGCAAGUCUGAAGUGAAAUUCCACGGCUUAACUGUGGAACUGCUUUGGAAACUGUGUUGCUAGAGUGCUGGAGAGGUAAGCGGAAUUCCCAGUGUAGCGGUGAAAUGCGUAGAUAUUGGGAAGAACACCGGUGGCGAASGCGGCUUACUGGACAGUAACUGACGUUCAUGCUCGAAGGCGUGGGGAGCAAACAGGAUUAGAUACCCUGGUAGUCCACGCGGUAAACGAUGAAUACUAGGUGUUGGCAUCCAAAGGAUGUCRGUGCCGUCGCAAACGCAUUAAGUAAUCCACCUGGGGAGUACGUUCGCAAGAAUGAAACUCAAAGGAAUUGACGGGGACCCGCACAAGCGGUGGAGCAUGUGGUUUAAUUCGAAGCAACGCGAAGAACCUUACCAAAUCUUGACAUCCUUCUGACAGUACUGAUAAACGGUAUUCUCUUCGGAGCAGGAGUGACAGGUGGUGCAUGGUUGUCGUCAGCUCGUGUCGUGAGAUGUUGGGUUAAGUCCCGCAACGAGCGCAACCCUUGUUCUUAGUAGCCAGCAGGUAAAGCUGGGCACUCUAGGAAGACUGCCGGAGACAAUCCGGAGGAAGGUGGGGAUGACGUCAAAUCAUCAUGCCCCUUAUGAUUUGGGCUACACACGUGCUACAAUGGCGUAAACAAAGGGAAGCAGAGCCGCGAGGCCGAGCAAAUCCCAAAAAUAACGUCUCAGUUCGGAUUGUAGUCUGCAACUCGACUACAUGAAGCUGGAAUCGCUAGUAAUCGCGAAUCAGAAUGUCGCGGUGAAUACGUUCCCGGGUCUUGUACACACCGCCCGUCACACCAUGGGAGUCGGUAACGCCCGAAGUACGUGACCUAACCGCAAGGAAGGAGCGUCCGAAGGCGGGACUGAUAACUGGGGUGAAGUCGUAACAAGGUAACCGUA